This 253-nucleotide ribosomal RNA is filed under the name uncultured bacterium. Its description in RNAcentral is "partial 16S ribosomal RNA". It matches the Rfam family "Bacterial small subunit ribosomal RNA", at positions 524 to 776 of the family's 1533-position model. The record is from RNAcentral.
UACGGAGGGGGCUAGCGUUGUUCGGAAUUACUGGGCGUAAAGCGCACGUAGGCGGCUUUGUAAGUUAGAGGUGAAAGCCCGGGGCUCAACUCCGGAAUUGCCUUUAAGACUGCAUCGCUUGAACACGGGAGAGGUGAGUGGAAUUCCGAGUGUAGAGGUGAAAUUCGUAGAUAUUCGGAAGAACACCAGUGGCGAAGGCGGCUCACUGGACACAUAUUGACGCUGAGGUGCGAAAGCGUGGGGAGCAAACAGG